CCUACGGGUGGCAGCAGUGAGGAAUAUUGGUCAAUGGGCGGGAGCCUGAACCAGCCAAGCCGCGUGAGGGAAGAAGGUACAGCGUAUCGUAAACCUCUUUUGUAAGGGAACAAAGGCGGGCACUAGUCCCCUUCUGCGUGUACCUUAUGAAUAAGCAUCGGCUAACUCCGUGCCAGCAGCCGCGGUAAUACGGAGGAUGCGAGCGUUAUCCGGAUUUAUUGGGUUUAAGGGGUGCGCAGGGGGCCUGUUAAGUCAGCGGUAAAAGCCCGGGGCUCAACCCCGGCGAGCCGUUGAAACUGGGGGGCUGGAGUGGGAGAGAAGUACGCGGAAUGCGCGGUGUAGCGGUGAAAUGCUUAGAUAUCGCGCAGAACCCCGAUUGCGAAGGCAGCGUACCGGGUCAAAACUGACGCUGAGGCACGAAAGCGUGGGUAUCGAACAGGAUUAGAUACCCUUGUAGUC
Molecule: ribosomal RNA, 459 nt
Filed under: uncultured bacterium
Lineage: Bacteria
Description: partial 16S ribosomal RNA
Rfam family: Bacterial small subunit ribosomal RNA
Source: RNAcentral